GUUGGGAAACAGAUUAUGUAGAUUAUCCCCUUCGAGGAUUAGAAAGCCUGUUGCAACCAAGUAGAGCUCGGUAUACAUGAAAACAGAUACCAGUAAUCUUCCCAUCUUCCCAAAUGCUCGCUCGCCAACAUCAGGGUAAGUUCGGAUAUUUGGAUGGGCAUCCAUACAUCUUCUGAGUAGUAAGCCUGUGUAGAAAGUUGCAGUGGCGAUAACAAGUAGAAGAACCAAGCUCAACCACCCUCCCGAUGAAAGGGCAUAUGGUGUGGAAAGGAUCCCAACUCCUGAUCAUAAAGCAUAGUCAAAGAAUUUGGUGUUCAGUUCCUUAGUCACAAACAGAUCAUAUUUCGGAGAUAAGAGAGUGGCAUCAGAAAAAAGAUAAACCUGAUAAAGCAUUGAGUCCAUUGAAACAGGUCUUGAAGAAAGAGGUAGAGCCCACAUCUUGCUUUCUACCGUUGGACUCAAUGUCCUCCACUUUGUUGUGAUUCUGAUCAUCAUGCAAGAGGGGCAAGGUGAGAGUGAACCCAUCACGCUGUUCAGCCUCCAUGUCGAGAGAGAGAGAGAGGAAGAGACAGAGUCCGAAGAAGACUACUAUGAAGCUUGAAGAGAGGUGAGAGGCUUAUAUAGGCAAAGAUAAAGUGGGUGGUGCAAGUGAGCAAUGAGAAGUGGGAACUCGUCAAUUAAUAGGAAGGGAAGCUUAAAAGCUAUGUUCCAAAGAUAAGAGACUUUUACUCAUCUUGCACGCCUAUCACAUGGUUUUAUUUCUCAAAUCACGUGACGCAUGUGACUGCCAACUAUUAACGUGUUUUUGUAUUGUUGACCUUGUAAGACCUAGGAGGUCAGCCUUCUAAAUCCCCAAGAAUUCCGUCAUCCAGCCUCUCUAAAUUAAAAAAAAAGAAGAGAAAACUCCUACUUUCCUUGAGGAAUCUAAAGUUUAUAAAACAUUUUCGCGUAAAAGUUUGAUAAUUUGGUAAUAGAAACAAUACUUUCUAUUUAUUCUUUCUAGAACUUUAUAUAAGAAUAUAGUGUUUAUUAUUUCUUUCUAGAAAUUUAUAUAAGAUUGUAGUGUGAGUCAUGAAUAUCCUAAAAUAAAAUAAAAUAAUACAAUUUCCUAAAUUAAGAUAAUCUCUCAAAUAUUAUUAAUAUUUUAUAAUGGAAAUAUUGACAGGAAUUCAUUUUAUGUAUCUUUCUUUUGUCCUCAUUUAUUCUUUCCCUUAAUAUUCAUCACACAUUUAUUUUGACUUAGUUUAGAUUAAUUAGUUUCAAUUGAUUUUUAAAAAUCAAAAACUUCUUUUUAAGUUCAAUUUUACCCUCUAUACUUUUCUUUAAAAAAAAAAGAAUUUUAUUUGAAAAUGACUAAAAUAUUACUUUUCGUAGAAACCUUAUUAUGGUCAAAAUACAAGGGAAAUAAAACUACGAGAAAAAGUAAAAGAAAAUAAAAGUUAAGAAAAAUAAAAAAGAAAAAUUUUAAAUAAAUAAUUUUUUUAUGCUACUUCAAAUUCAUUUCACUUGUUUUACCUAUUCUAUAUAAAAAUUAAAUAUUUUUAAAGUAUAUAAAUUUUUUUACUAAUUUUAAGUAUAAUUUCUUUCAUAUUUUUCAUAAUAACACUAUAUAUAUAUAAUUCUUCGACUUUGGUUUCAACUUAUAAUUUUAAGACAAAUAGAAAGUCUUCUCAAGCGAAGACACAUUGGAAUUACGUCCUAUUUGAAAACUAUUUUUUAAAACUGUCAUUUGAUUUAAAACUAUUUUAUAAAAUAAAAGUCUGAUUGAUGAUCUUAAAUGUUUUUAACAUAUUUUUAAUAUUUUUAAAUUAAUUUUAAUGUCUACUAAUUUGUUUUUAAUCAUUUUUUAAGGGAUAAUUGUGUUUUGGACCCUAAGCCAAAAAAAUUAAGAUUAUGAAAGUUGCAUAAUUGAUGGGAAUGAUAUAAAAUGUGAAGAGAACAAUAUACCCUUUAAAACUAUUUUGAGUAUUUUCUAUCAUAAUGUUUGACAAAAAAAAAAUUUAAUUUUUUUUAAUAAUUAUUCUGAAAAUUUAUUAUUUUUAGAAAACUAAUUUAAAAUAUAUAUAUAUAUAUAUAUAUAUAUUCUAAAAAUAUAUCAUUUUAAAAAAUAAUUUUGACAUAUUUUUAGUUAUUUUUUACAUACAUAAUUUAAAAAUAUAUAUAUAUUUUUCAAGAUGAUUAAUUAUUAAAUAAUAAUAAUAAUAAUUUAUUUUCAUUUUUUUGUAAAAGGGUGUAUUUUUUUCCGAAUCACUAAAUUAAAGUAAAAUUUAUUGAGGUUUACAAAAGGAAUAAAAUUUAAAUUAAUAUUUUCCUACUCUUUUUUUUCAUAAUUAAUAAAGGUGAUUUUUUGAAAAAUAAAAAAUUCAUAUCCUUCUUCUCAAUUUCCAUAUUUUCUCUAGAUCUUGAACUUAAAUAGUGAAUUUAUAUGGACCAAAUCUUAAUUUUUGGGCCCAAUUAGUUUCAAAAUACAAUUGUCCCUUUUUAAAAAACAAUCCUCAAAAAAUAAAUAAAAAUAAUUAAAAAAUAUUAAAUUAUUAUUCAAUUUUUUUUUAUUAAACGCAUUUUCUAUUUUUUUUGUUCUCCAAAAAAAAAACAUUAUUUUUUAAAGCAAUAAUCAAAUAGCUUCUAUUUUUACUUAGUUUUCACUUCUCUAGUAAAAUUUAUUCCAUCCUCAAUAUUCAGGCCAGUACAAUUAUUUUUCUUUUGUAUAUAACCCUGCGAAGUAAAAGGUUCUGCCCAGGUGUUUGACUUAAAAAGGAAGGGGGAAUAAUAACGCUGUAUUCAAUACGUCUUCAUCAUACGCAAUAUGGUACCAUCAUUAUAUGUCUGCAUAGAAGCAAUCAUUUUGAAAACUAUCAACCAUGACGAUAACAUGCAGUGCCCACAAGCCUGCCAAUGACCCUCUAAAACUUACAUAUAAGUAAAAGAAAUAAAAAUAAAUCCUCUAUCUAAGUGUACAAGUUCCAAUAGAUGUUUUGAAUUCAACAAAUACAUGGGAGUUUAUACAUGACAUGCCAUUUGUGCCACAUGCUAUAUGUAUUUGAUGGGCAUUGUAGGGACCAGCUACAUUUGACUAGUUUGGUAUAGCCAUGGCCAAGCUGAAUGUGAAUAAUGAUGUUAGUUAUUAGAAUGUGAAUAACAAUGUUGGUUGUUCGUGGACCACGUAGUACAACUCGCUUAUCAUGAAUACAAAAAAUUUGAUUAUUAGAAUGUGAAUAACGAUGUUGGUUGUUCUUGGACCACAUAGUACAACUCCCUUAUCAUGAAUACAAAAAAUUAUCAUUGAAGGUAUCAAAAUUUUAAUUGAGUUCUAUCUCGUCGCCUUUUGUGUAUAACGCGUGCAUGGGUCCUCCCAUCAUAAGUUACACCAAUUUGAAUGACAAAACCUUCAAUUAGACAUUUAAUAUAAAGUCAGCUCAUUGAUACCCACAAAUCAAAAGACAUUUUAAAUUUUUGUAUAAAAACUUAAAUCUAUUGACAAACAGACUACGUGGAUAAACUAAUAACAUAUAUAAAUAGUUAGUCAUGCAAAUAUCACAAACACGCUGAAAUAAAUCAUCAACUCUCGAGUUAUGUUGUCCCCAACAUAAAUACUAGGAAUUUGUAUAUUUUUUUACUAGUGUAAAAAGCAUCAAUGAAUUAAAUGUCAUUGUUUAUUAUUUUUUAUAUAGUGUUAGCCAUUCUCUCAUCUUUUUUUAAUAAUUUUGCACUCAUGAGUCUCUAUCUAUGCAAGUCAUAUUCUCAAUCUUAAUUAAAGUCUCACUCUUCUUUCCAUUGGUGUGCCUAACUUCCCCCUUAUCUUCUCGACUCUUCCUUCAAUUUUGUAGUUUGGAAUGACAAAAUUGUAUGUAUCUUCAUAGUGAAGUUUCAAUACGCAACUACAAGGAUUUAGUUGUCACCUAAAGUAAAUACAUUAUAAAGUAAAUGUAUCCACAAUUUAAUGGUCCUUUUCAAAAUUAUUAUUAUAAAGGAGAGUUUAAUCUUCAAUUCUUUCUUCAAAAACACUCCUAUGAUUCUAUGAAAACAUUUUGAUGAAAAAUCAAUUAUUCUUUAAACAUAAACCAAAAGAUAUUUCCACAGAGUUUUAAAAAUUAAUUAUUUAAAAAAGCAUUUGGUAAAUGUUGUUGUUAAAAUCAUUAGUAUUUUUUUUUUUUUAAUGUAUCACGUUAUAAACAUCUCAUUUUUAUGAGAAAAUACUUUUUAGUGUUAAAAAACACUUUAAUCAUUCAGAAUCAAUCUUAGAAUCUGUAUGGAAUAAUUUUAAGAAGAGUUUUUAGGUCAAAAAGUUUUUUUAUUUUUUAAAUGAGGAGUUUAUCAAAUAAAUAUUUUUAAAAAUAUAAAAAAAUUAUUUAUAAUAUUAAAAAAUCUAUUAUAUAAUUUUUACUGAAAACGUUAAAUUAAUUAAAAAUGUGUUUAACAACAUUUUUUAUGAAAAUAUUUUCGGUAGAAGUGGUUUUUAAAAAAAUGUUUUUCAAAAAAUUGACUAAUUAAGUUUUUAUAAGUAAUUUUUUAUGUUUUAAAAAUGUUUUUAAAAUUUCGUAAAACAUGAAAUUUUAUUUUAAAAAUACUUUUUAAAUUUGAAGUGUUUUUUAAAAACAUUGUCAUGAUUGUCCAUAGAUUUUUAAUUGGUUUUUUUAAUGCGGAAUACUAUAAAUAUCUUUUAAAAUUUUAUAAAAAUUAGAAUCCCUACGUAGUACUAAAGUCCAUGAAAGUGUUUGGGUGGGUAGAAAUCUCCCAUCGAUCGUGUUAGUGCGCUUUAAUAAUGAGCGACACGACAAUUCAUAAAGGAGUACCACAAGUUGAAAAUUUCAAACCCUAUCCACAAAGGACGACUGAUAAAACGUGAGGCUGAGAUUUAAUAAUAAAAUUUAGUAUUAACGACACGCACAUCUUCUGACUCUUGUAUGGGUAAAAUGAAAUAUAAUAAAAUUUAUUUGUAAAAAUUAUACAAUAAUUGAUAUAAAAUAACAACAUUACCGUACAAAAAAAGGAGGGCCAAUAAAAAAAUGUUUUAUUUUUUAAUAUUUUUAUUCAAUGGUUCAGAUUUAAUUUCGAAUAACAAUAUUGAGAUUGAAAUUUCAAUUUAAAAUAGAAGGAUCGAAUAGAGAGGACAAAAUUGGUGAUAAUGAAGUUGGCAUGUGAACAUGUGGUGUAAGUGGUUGAGAUGAGGUGACAACGACGGGAGUGGACAGCAUUUUACUCGAAGUAAUGUUUUUCCCCACAAACUCCCCAACGUCUCUUUCAACCCCGACACUCGAGUUUGUAUCCAAAUUGAAUUUGAUUUCGAUUGAGCAUAUCUGAGUUUUAUGGCCGCAGAGAUGCAAAUGUAAAUUUCCUUACUCGAAUUAUGAUAUAGCCCCCUAUUGAUUGAAUUUAUCACAAUUUAAUGGUCCGUCUAAGUUAUGAUACAAUUUUUUGUUUAUGUUCUAGAAUAAAUUCGAUUGAUGGAAUAUUUUCUAUUUUAAAUCCAAAUAAAUAUUUAUAAUUUUAAAAUAUAUUUACAUGAUUAGAAAAUAUGAGAUCAAUUUUGAUACUAUUUAUAAUAGACUGUAUCUAAUCAUAUAAAUAUUAUCUGUUUUUAAAUCGAACUCUCUCUUCCAUCUAACUUGGAUAGAGUAUAUACACGUAAAAAAUUUAUAAAAGAGUUAUAAACAAAAAGACUUGUUAUAAACAAAAGAAUUACAUCAAUUUAUAACCGUUUUAUAAAUCUUUUAUUUAUAACUCUUUUAUUUCAUUAAUAAAAAAAUGGGUUAUAAUAUGAAAAGAAGAAGACGUGUCACAACAAUUUUCCCACUUAUCACACUCCAAACCAUAUGAAUGUAAGUUGUUUUGAAAAUUUAAACUCUAAGAUUUUGGGAUGUGACAACUACAACUUUUAGUGGUAUUUGAAUAGGGCACGGAAUUAAAUUUUUAACGUUUUGUCGUAUUCAAUCAAAAAACACAAGGAUUGGACCUUGAGAAUCCAUGAAAUUUAUACACUAAUUAUAGUGUGCUAGUUUUUGGGUAGGAAAGGACAUCUUCCUAGUUAUCAGAGAUUAGGGCUCUAUUUCCAUUAGAUUGGCUUAUGAAAAGUCCCAAUUUUUUUUUUUUAAGAUUAAUAUUUUCCUUUGAAGAUCAUGUGCAUGGCAACAAAAUGUUAUUAAAAAUAAGAUUUAAGUAUUAGGCUAUGGCAACAAAAUGUUAUUAAAAAUAAGAUUCAAGUCUUUGUUAAGUAAUAGGCUAUGUCAGAUUCUCGAAAAAUUUAAAGAGAGAAUAUAAAAUAAAUAUAAAGAAAGAGUAUAAGAUAGGAAAUUAAAAGUAAAAUAAAUAAAAAAAUAAAUCGAUAAAUUAUUUUUUAUAUACUGUUUUAAACUUAUUUUAUUUAUUUUAAUCAUCUUAUAUAAAAAUUAAAUAAUUUUAAAAUAUAUAAAUUUUUAAAUAAUUUUAAUCAUAUUUAAUUUUUUUUAAAUAUUUUUCAUAGUAAAAUCAAAUUUGAAAAAAAUUCAUUUUCGACAUCUUUUUCUUUUCUUAAUAAUUUUUGGAAAUUGAAAAAACAUUAAUGAAAUAUAAUUCAAAACAAAAAAAAAAACCUCGCACCAAAUCUAGAAGGACAACAAACUUAAAAUUUCAGGCAUGAUAAUAUCAUUUCAAUAACAAAUUUCUAUUUCUACUUUUUGCACCUAAAAGUAACGUACUGUCCCGAAUCAAACUUUAAUGUGUGCGCCAACCAAAUUAAAGUCCCAACUCCAACUCUGCCUGCCUUGAAAAAAGUGGAGCAAAAUGAAAAUGUGGAUGGAAAAUCAAAGCCUAGCGGAUUGCAUUUUUGUUUUGUUUUUUGGUGUGUGAUCUUGAAAACCCAACCUCAUGCACACAUUUGUACAUUGGAUAUAGCUGCUUAUAUGUUAACAUCAAUGAAUUAUCGAUAGUCAACAAUAAUCAAAGUUGUGGCUUCAAAAAGCAAGUGGGGAUAUUAGGUAAAAAUAAUGGUUUGUCAUAUGCCUUUUGAUGGAUUUCAAUAACUAAGCCAACCAACCAGGAGAUGGAGCUUUUAUAUGGAAUAUAUUUUCUAACUUUACUCACAAAUUUUGAAAUAAUACAACUGUUUUAAUUACACUUCUAUGGAAAUACUUGGACAAAGAUUCAAUUAGAGCAGUGUCAUGCUAUUAUAUUCUAUUUAUAUGAUACUAUAAGGGUUUUUCUACUCAUGGUUUAUAGGCCAAAAAAAAAAAAAAAAAAAGUCAUAGUUUUACAUUGAGCCUAUUUGGGACUGUUUUUUAGGAUAUAUUUUUAUUUUCUAGAAUAAAGAACACAAGAAACACGUUUGACAACUAAAAACUAUUUUUUAUUUUCUAAUCUUAAGAAUAUAAAAUAUGAUGUUUUCAUAUAACAUAUUUUAGUUAUUUUUUGUUAUUUUCACUUGUUUUCUGAUGAUUGUUUUAAGAAAUAAUUAUACAAACAUGUAGAAUGAUUAAAAAUGAAAUACUACAUAUAAAAAUUAUUUUUAAAAAUAUUAAAAAUAGAUUAAAAAUAUUUUAGGUUUUCAAACAUAUUUUUGUUCUAUAAAAAUCAUAAAACAAUUUUCAAAAACUGUUCUCAAAUACAAUUUUUUAGAAUAAUUUUCAAAAACAAUUACCAAACAAACUCUCUAUCAUUGUGUUUGUUAGUAAUUCUAAGAAGUGCUUCUAACCUUUUAGCACAUGAAAAUUUUAUCUUCAAGUAUUAUUAGAAAAGUUAAAAUAAAAAUUACCUAAAAUAAUUGUCAAACAUAUUUUUAAAGUUUAUUUGAUAAUGAUUCUAAAAAACGUUUCUAACAUUUUUAACACUUGAAUGAUAAAAAUUUUCAAGUAUUAAAAAUAUUAAAAGCGCUUCCUAAAAUCACUAUCAAACGGAUUCUUAGUCUUUCUAACACUUGAAAAUUUUUAUCUUGUAAGUAUUAAAAAACUAAAAACACUUUCUAUAAUCACUAAGUACACAUAUUUAGAGUGUGUUUGACAAUAAUUUUAAAAAGUGUUUUUAAUCUUUUUAAUACUUGAAAAUUUUCAUUUUUCAAAGUAUUAAAGAUAUUAGGAACACUUCCAAGAAUCAUUAAUAAAUAUAUUUUUAGAGUGCGUUUGAGAGUGAUUAUAGAAAGCGUUUUUACUAUUUUUAAUACUUAAAUGAUAAAAAUUUUCAAGUAUUAAAAAUAUUAAAAGCGAUUCCUAUAACCAGUGUCGAACGACCUCUCAAUAUUGUAUAAAGAAACAAGAAUUCCACGUUAGCAGCACCUCAAAUUCAUGGAAAACAAAAUCGAUGAUAAUGAACUUGGCAUGUGAACGUGUAGAGAAAUUAAAAUGUGGAGAAAUUGAUGAUAAUGAAGACGGCAUGUGAAAUGUGAAGUGGGCUGAGACUUGAGAUGAGGUGACAACAACAGGAGCGUACAGCAUCUCACUCAAAUUCAUGGACAUUUCCCACGAACUUUCAAAGACUACCAACAAUGGCUCUAGUUGCUCUAGUACACCAACCGACCUCCUCUGUUUCGAAAAUAUUCAAAAAUUAUUUUGUAAUAUAAAAGUUUGUUUACUUUUUAAUUUCUUCGUCCUAUUUAAUCAUUCUUUAUAUCUAUAUAAUUAUUUUUUUAAAUAAUUUUAAAAAACAAUUAAAAUAUAUUAUUUAAAAAUAUUUCAUUUUUUAUUUUUAAGGACAAAAAUCUAUUUUUUUUAUUUUUUAUAUAUUUUUUAUUUUUUCAAUAAAAACUAUUUUUUAAAAUAAUUCUAGAAAAACAUUUAUUGAGAAAAACUUGAUAUACACUUAACCUAAAAAAUAACUUUUAUAUCUAAUACUUUAUUUUUAAUAAUUGUGUUUGUACAAUUAUUUUUAAAAAAAUGAAAAUAACUAAAAAAAAAAAAUUUUUAAACGCCUUAUUUUCUAUUUUUCAAUUGUUUAUCGUGUUUUUUCUGAUUUUUUUUUUUUUUUUACUCUAAAGAAUAGAAAGCUCAUUUUAAAAAUAUUUUCCAAAAGAUUGCCUUAGAUUUUAUGUCCAAAUUCAAUCCAUUCAACACUGAAAAUAGUGCAUAGUUUGGGUUGGAAAGUAAAUCUGUUUUUGAGGCUAUUGUUAAAGUGUCACCAAUUCAUUCCAUUUAAACAAGUCCAAAUUCUUCAACCUUUUCUACCAUGACCACUUACAAAAGACUGAGAGGCUCUGUCUGGUUUGACCUUUUUGAAAAGAUCAAUUUUUUUAUAAGUUUUUGCAUAUAUUUAAGUAAUUUUGUUAAAAGACCUUCACAUAAAAAUAAGGAAAAUAUUAUUUUUGUCCCAAAAUAUAUAGGGUUUCUAAUAGGAAAAGGUCAUCCUACCCUUUCUAUUUAUUUAUUUAUUUAUUUUCUAAUUCAAUUAAAUCUUAAUACAUGAGCCUAAUAGUUGAAUUUGAAUGUCUGGCCUAAUUUAAUUGACCUAUAAACAACUUUGGAUAACUUAAACCCAAACCAAAAUUAAAACCAUUCUAUAUUUAAAUAACCCAAUUAUUUAUUACCUUAAAUUAAAUUACAAAAUAACCUAAGUUCCUAGUUGGGGUGUCACAAGAAUGAAAAUUUAAGAGUUAUCAAUACUUAAUACAAGAUGUACAAUAAGUUUCCAAUUUGAUCUAAGCUCUUAGUCGAUGGGUCAACAAUGUACAUCAAAAUCACUUUCAAUUAACAAUACAUUUUUUAAGAUUAUUAAGCAAUAUAUAUUAAACUCACUCAAGGUUGGACUCUUACCAUCUCACAUCAAGGUAACCUCGAAUCAUGUUCAUUGGUUGAUUCCAAUCGAAUUCUAGGGAUAUAACCCUUGUUUCAAGCAGUUGUCGCACAAUAUUGUGCCUUAGGCGUAUAUGUCUGUUAUUCCCAUUAAAUAUCUUACUCUUAGCCUUAGCAAUUGUAGCUUGGCUAUCACAAUGCAUAGACACAGACGGGGCUGGUCUCGUCCAUAAAGGGAUAUUUGCUAAGAGGUUUCUAAGCCACUCAGCCUUAAAACUUGCAUUUUCUAAGGCAAUAAACUCAGCCUCCAUAUUAGACCGAGUAAUGCAAGUUUGCUUGGCAGACUUCCAAGAAACUGCACUUCCACCAAGAAUGAAAACAUAUCCACUAGUGGAUUUCAUCUCAUCUGAAUCUAAAAUCCAAUUUGCAUCACUAAAUCCUUCAAGGACACUUGGAAAUCCACUAAAGCACAAACCAUGGUUAAUGGUGCCUCUCAAAUACUUAAAGACUCUAUGAACAGUAGUCCAAUGGUCCUAAUUAGGACUUUAGGUGUACCGACUCAAUCUACUUACUGCAUAAGCAAUGUUAGGUCUGGUACAAUUCAUUAAGUACAUUAGGCUCCUUAUGAUUUAAGCAUACUCUAUUUGGGUAACACUAUGUUCUCUAUUUUUCUUCAGUUGUGAGCUGGGAUCAUAAGGAGUUGACACUGGUUUACAAUCAAAGUGUUCAAACUUCCUUAGGAUCUUUUCAACAUAGUGCUCUUGAGAAAGUUUAAGCCCAUUAGGUGUUCUAGUUAUUUUAAUUCCUAGAAUCACAUUUGCCUCUCCUAGGUCUUUCAUAUCAAACUUAAAACCUAGGAAUUUCUUGUAAGGUAUUUUAUUUUGAAUAUGGCAUGCGAAUAGGAUAACCUCCCCCCACAACUUCAAGGGUGCUCCUGAACUUACCAACAUUGCAUCAAAGGUUUUAGGACCUAGUUUUCGUUUUUUUAAGUUCAGGGAGAAGAACUUUAGCUAAACACCCCCACACUUUUAGGUAUGCUAUAUUAGGUGCAUAACCCUUCCACAACUCAUUAGGAGUUUUACCAGUUUUCCAGGUUGGUAAUAGAUGAGAACCAUCUUCUGGUUUUAGGUUAGUCAAAAUGUGUUCCAAGUUCACCACAUCAAUUGCAGAGAAAACCCUUUAGGUUAGUUCCAAAGAUCAGCAUGUCAUCAACAUAAAAAAAGAUGACUACACAUGUGUUAUCCUCAUACUUGCUAUAGAUACACUUAUCAGCAUUAGUAAUGGAAUAUCCAUUAGUUACUAACACAUGAUCAAACUUGUUAUGCCACUGUUUAGAAGCUUGUUUUAACCCAUAUAGCGAUUUAACCAGCUUACACACCUUUUUCUCCUUCCUUGGAAUUACACAACCCUCAAGUUGAUCCAUAUAAAUUUCCUCUUCCAAAUCCCCACUCAAGAAUGCGGUCUUAACAUCCAUUUGGUGUAUCAUCAAAUUAUGAAUGGAAGCUAGAGCAAUCAAUACUCUAAUUGAUGUUAUUCUAGUCACAGGGGAAAAUGUGUCAAAGUAAUCUACAUCCUUCAUUUGUUUAAAGCCUUUGGCAACUAAACGAGUUUUAUACUUCUCUAUGGACCUAUCUUGUUUUAACUUUCUUUUAAAGAUCCACUUCCAACCAAUAGUCAUUGCACUAGGGGGUAAAUCUACUAACUCCCAGGUAUGGUUAUACAUUAUUGAUUCGAUUUCACUGUUAAUGGCCUUCUUCCAUAAUGGUGCAUCAGGAGAAGUUAUAGCUUCUUUGUAGGAUCUAAGGUCCUUAUCUUUUAGGUUUAGGGAGAAGAACUUUAGCUAAACACCCCCACACUUUUAGUUAUGCUAUAUUAGGUGCAUAACCCUUCCAUAACUCAUAAGGAGUUUUACCAGUUUUCCAGGUUGGUAACAGAUGAGAACCAUCUUCUAGUUUUAGGUUAGUCAAAAUGUGUCCCAAGUUCACCACAUCAAUUGCAGAGAAAACUCUUUCCUGUCAUCUCUUAAAGAAUGUCUCAUUGAAGGGAUCAAUUUUAGAGGUGUCAAGACAGGUGUGAACUAGGGAAGGUUCCAUUUGGAUAUAUUUCAAGAUUGUUGGAAUUUAAGGGUAUGGAAACAAAAUACUAGCCCAAAUUACACAAACAAAGAACAUAAUGAAUAAAAAGAAAAACUUGUCAGUUGAGGCGUGACAAACACUGUCCUUAAAAUAGAUCCACCCUCCUCGAAGACGAACUUGGUGCACUAGGGUAUCAGUGGUCUACUUUCAGGAUUCAACAGUCAGAUCUCACCUUGGGUGCACUCUGAAAGCGAGAUGUGUAUAACUCAGGUUUUUGAAUAAAUUCCUCCAAAUAGUUGUAUGAAAAUACUCCCUAAAAAACUCUCUGAAAAAAAAAAUUCUAAAAAAUUGGUAUCUAUGUAUAGAGAAGGGUGACUUGCUUUUAUAGGCCACUAACACAGUCCCAAUGGGAAUCUACUUGUAAUUAGAAGAUGAUACAAAGUGGAAGGUGAUUCUACUUAUAAAAUGAAUGAGACUCCACUAGCACAAUCCCAAAAGGACUCUUCCCAAAAAUAUAACACUAAUAGAAUAAAAUAAAAUAAAAAAUAAUUCUCAAUAGGACACUUCCCAAAAAUAUAAGAUUAAUAGAAUAAAAUAAAAUAAAUUAAAUUAAAUUAAAAUUAAUUUCCAAAAAUAAAAAUAGAAAUUAUUUACACUCUUCCUACAAUAACUUCCAUCUUGGCAGGGUAAGCACAUGAACCCAUAGCAAGCAUUUUGAUUCCAUACUCUGAAGCCAUGGAACUAACUGAUAGCAUAGUCAUUUGCAAACCAGUAUCAGGUGGCUCUAUGAACCCAACAAGAACUCUAGGGCCAGCGAUUGCCAGUGCUGACUACAAGGGGAUUUGGGUGUAUGCGGUUGGACCAGUAUCAGGCACACUACUGGGGACAUGGUCCUUUAAUUUGAUUCGGGUCACAGAGAAGCCAGUGCAAGCAAUAUCUUCUCACUCAUUUUCACUCAAACUAAGCAUAAUGAGGAGCAAUGCUUGGGAGAUUUCCAGAAAAGAUCCUCUGAAUCAUCUAUAAUAAGACUCAAUCUAUAAAUGAUGAUGAAUACUAUAAGCUAAUAAGCCUAUGGCAUUUAGUUUGCCCUUGAUGCCCAUAAGAGCUUGUAUCUGUUGUACGUUUUAUAUCUACAUGCAUAUGAUGUAUUAUAGUAUUGAUUGAAAGAAUUUAGUCAUUAAAAAUUGAAAAUGAAAAGGCAAAAUGACAAAAACUUUCUCUCUCAAAAGCAUUAUUUAAGCGAUCAAUAAGUGGGCAUCAGAACAUAUUAGUACAUCUAGUCAGACAUUCCUGACCUAAUAAAAAAACUGCAACUAAGAAACAUGUCCAUAUAUGUGUUUGUCUCGUAGACAUUAAUUACACAACUCAAUCAAUUGCAAUACAAUAGAUAUCAAAAGGCAUUCUCCAAUAAACAUGUGACCAACAUUUGUGAGGUAAUAUGGCAUCGAUACAGGCAAAAAAGGUUUGACCUAGGAUUGAAUGAUGCAUACUAGACCCUAAGUAGUUUUUUUCACAAACUACAAAAGACCCAGGGUUGAUGGUAAUGCUCUUAGUGCAAUUGUCAGUUUUAUAAAUCCCAACAAGUCGAUCCACCAGCUCAAACAUGUUGUUUCUAAGGCUGCAAUUUGUAAGACACCCAAAAUAAGGAAAAACUUGAAAAAAAUAAUAUGUAGUAAGUUUAGUGAUAAUUCAACAUCCCAUCCAAUCUACCUUAUGAUUAUAAAUUGUGCAUCAUUUGUUCGGUCUUUCACAUAGUGUCCUACAAUUGAAACAUUCUUGAAAUCUGCCACAGCAUAUGAACCAAAUAAGGGAGAAACAUAAUAUAAAAUUUUAGAAAAUAAAUGGCAUUCAAAAAUUAAAGCUCAUCAAUCCAAUUUGUAGUACCUAGAGCAGCAUCAAUCUCAUCCAUAACAUAAAGUGGGAUGGGUUUGUAGUGAUGAAGAGCAAAAACAAGAGCCAACAAGCUGAGGUCUGAAUGCAACAAAAUCAAACAACAUUAUAGGACCUCCCCACAAGUCUCUAGUAUCUUUCCUUAUCGGUUGAUACUUGAUUAGGCUCAACACACAAUUUCAGACCUUCUAUUGGUGUAUCAACAGGUUGACAUCCCGACAUUCUAGUCUCCUGUAAAAAAUCUAAGGCAUACUUUCUUUGAGAUAGAAAAAUUCCUUCAUUUGAUCGAGAAACUUCAAUCCCAAGAAAGUAUUUCAGAGAACCUAGAUCUUUCAUUUCGAAUUCUCUAGACAUAUAAUUCUACAGAGCUUUUCUUUUUUCAGGAUCAUUUCUUGUAACUACCAUGUCGUCCACAUAUACGAUGAGUGUUGUAAUCUUACCAUGUUAUUUUUUUAAGAACAAAGUGUGAUCUGAAUUACUUUGACGAUAGCCAAAAGCUCUCAUUGACUUUGUGAACCUUCAAAACCAUGCUCUCGGGGAUUGCUUCAACCCAUACAAUUACUUCUUCAAUUUGCACACCUUCUGACAUUGCUUUUCUGACACCAUGCAUCAUGGUGGAAGAUCCAUAUAUACUUCUUCAGAUAACUCGCCAUCAGAAAGACAUUUUUCACAUCAAACUAUUGUAAUGGCCAAUUCAAGUUUGCAGUUAAAGACGGUAAUACUCGAACUGUGUUGAUCUUAGCUACAAGUGCAAAUGUCUUUAUGUAGUCAAUUCCAUAAGUUUGAGUGUACCCUUUUGCUACCAGUCUUACUUUAAAUCGUUCAAUACUACCAUCUGCCUUGUACUUCACAGUAUAGAUCCAACGACACCCAACUGACUUCUUUCUUGGUGGACAUUCUACGAGUUCCCAUAUUUCAUUAUUCUACAAUGAUUUCAUUUCUUCAUUCAUGGCUGCUUUCCACCUUGGAUUAGUUGAGGCUUCGUGCACACUGUUAGGAAUAACUACAGUAGAUAAUUGAUUUACAAAUGACUCAUUUGAUUCAGACAAACGAUGGUUAGACAUAUAGUUGCUCAUGGGAUAUUUGACUUUGAUAGACAAUUCAAGUUCAUAUGUGGGUUUAGGAAUACCUCUAUUAUGACGGUGUGGUAACCGUUUCAUGAAUGGAUCAGGUUCCAAAUUAAGAAUACCCUCAGUAGACGACAAUUGGUUUGGUAUUUCAGUGAAGGCAUCUUCGGACCCAAAUUGUUCAGAUGGUGGUGAUGGUUCAAUUGUACUGUCUCUUCCAUCUUCUAUCACUUCUUCAAUUUCUGGGUGGUCAUUACUACUUGAUUCCAAAGUUGUACCACUCAUAUCCAAUUCACCCGCUUCUUGGUUUACUAGUUCAGAUUGUCCAGAUUCAUCCUCCUUAAAGAUAUGAUAAUCAUAAUCGAGAGUCUGAAUUUCCUUAUGGUACCCCCCCUAAAGUUCAGACUCAAAUGAAAAAUACAUCGAAUCUUCAUGAAACACCACAUCCAUUGUAAUAAACAUUCGUCGAGUUGGAGGAUGGUAACAUCGAUUUCCUUUUUGGUGCAAUGUAUAUCCAACAAACACACAUUUCAAUGCACGAUAAGUUAACUUGGUGCGUUGGUGUUUGUGUAGAUGCACAAAUGCCACGCAACCAAAAACACGAGAAGGUAGAUUUGGGACGGUUGGGGCAACCACGACAUUAGUAAGAGCUUGGAGAGGUGUUUGGAAGUCAAUUGAGCUAGAAAGUACUCGAUUGAUCAAGUAUGCGGCAGAUGUGAUUGCUUCUCCCCAAUAAGAUAUCAACAUUUUUGCUGCUAUCAAGGAAGCAUGAACAACCUCUAACAAGUGUUGAUUUUUACAUUCAACGACUCCAUUUUGCUGGGGUGUAUUGGAACAAGUAGUCUAAUGAAUGAUGCUAUGUCCUUCUAAAUACUUCUAAAGAUCAAAACUCUGAUAUUCUCCACCAUUAUCGCUAUGCAAAACCCGAACCUUUGCAUUGUACUGAGUUCCAAUCAUUUUAUGAAAUUUUUGAAACAAUAAGUUCACUUCAUCUUUGGUCUUCAUCAAGUAUAACCAGGUCAUUCUGGUAUAAUCAUCAAUAAAAGUAACAAACCAAUGCGAUCCACUCAAAGUUAGGACUUUGGAUGGGCCCCAAACAUCAGAAUGUAUAACCAUAAAAGGAAGCGGACUUUUAUUCAAAAUUAACGAAAACGAAGCACGAUGGCUUUUAGCCAAUUCACAAAUAUCACAACGGAAACUAGAAACAUCACUCAUUGCAAACAAACUAGGAAACAAUUUUUUAAAAUAACCAAAGGAAGCAUGUCCUAGACGUCGAUGCCACAACCAAAUUUUAGACUUUUUCUUCUCCCCCUUAGACUCAUCUGUCAUCAAGGUUUGUCGUAACUUAUUGGAAUCCUUUGACUGCAAAUCCAAGUAAUAGAGUUUUCCCCACUUAAUACCACAACCAAUCGUCCGUCUUGUUUGAAUGUCCUUAAAAACACAAAAUUCAGGCAAAAAAAUAACAAUACAAGAUAAGGCUGCAAUGAUUUGAGAAACUAACAAAAGAUUGUAAUCGAAAUAUAGAACAACUAAAACAGAAUCCAAAUUCAGAGUAUCAAUAAGAGUUAAGGAUCCUUCCCCAAUGACUGGGGUUGUGUUACCAUUGGUUGUAGAAACAAUUUUUUGUGAGGAAGGUUUAAGAGGUGAGACCUGUCUAGAAUAAAAAAUCAUAUGAUCUGUAGCACCAAAAUCAAUUCUCUGUGUACUAUUAAUAACAGGUGUAGAAGUAUUUAAAACCUUACCACCAUAAUCUGUAGUGGCUACCAAUGUAGAGGCUUUCUCAACAAUAUUAUCCUCUGUUUUUAUUUCAGCAACAGUUGUAGUCAAGGUUUUUUUGGAAUCCUUCUUCCGUUAAUCACGAUUAUGAUCCCACUAGUCUGGAUAUCCCACAAGUUCAAAGCAAUGACUCUUGGUAUGACCAGUCUUAUUGCAAUGAGUACAUUUGAAGGUUGACUUAUCAAUAUUAGGGGUUGUCUUAGGAUGGUUGGUCUUGGAUUGGUCCUGCCAAUUCUGGGUUGAUCGUUGUCGGAUUACCAUAGCUGAGGUGUCAGUAUUGUCAGAUUCUGCUUUCAUACUAGCAUGAUGCACUGCCUCUCGUCGAAUCAGUGCAUAGCAUUUUUCCAAAUCGGGAAUAGGAUCUUUGCAUAGAAUCUCUCCUCAAACUUGCUCAAAGUCACCAUUCAAUCCAGCAAGAAAGAUGUGCACCCGUUGUUGUUCAAUGGAUUUCCAGUAUGCUACAAUGUCAUCAGGGUCUUUCAUGACUACCUUAUCCCGAUGAUCUAAUUAGCAAAAAAUCUUAGUUAACUCUCCAUAAUAUUCAGAAAGAGACCUGCCACUUUGUUUGGCAAUGAAGGCUUUUUUAUUCAGAGUGAAAACUUGUAAUUCAUCACUUCCAUCAUAGAAGGCCUUUGAUAAUGCACUCCAAAUUUCUUGAGUGGUGGGUAAGCGUAAAUAACGCUUCAUAAUUUCUGGACUCAUGGACAUUAACAACCAUCUCUUCACCUUUUGAUUCUCUGCAUACCAUUUUUCAUAUCCAUUUUCGACUCUUUUGGUGGCUUUGUCUUACCUCGAAUGUAGGAAAGUUUUUCCCAUUCGGUAAUAUGCAUUUCCACGAGUUGUGACCAAACGUCAUAGUUUGAUUCAGUCAAAAUAAUUCCUGGAUUAAAAGUACCUUCAGAUUGAAAAACAAUAGUAUUUUUUUCACCUUUUUUUUUUUUUUGAUAAGCAAAUUAAAAUAUAAAUAUGACACACACUUUUCCUCGACGCUUGUUCUUCUUUAACAAAUUUGUAGAUCGAUGAUGACCGAUGUCGGAGCAAGAAAUGGCACUGAUCUUUGGCGUGGUGCAGGUAUACACGAAAAGAGGUUGAUGAUCUUUGUCAACAGUCUCCUAUUAUUUUGUGGAAGUUUGCAAGGGAUUUUGUCUCAAAAGAGGUUUCUAAGGUUGGCUUUGAUACCAACUUCAAUUUGAUGAAUGGUGGUUUUUCAUUCAUACUUUCAUUUGUUCACGUACAAAGUAUAUAUAGAGGGCAAGCUAUACAGCUAUACAAUCAUAUCUGUUAAUUAUGUUGACCACCUAUAAUCAAGCACUAUAAUCAAGCAUAAUCACCUAAGAAUGGGAAAGAAUGAUUACAAGGAUUUGUAUAGCUAAUAUCCUAAUAUCUCAACAUAGCACAAUCAGUGGAUUCUAGAUAUUACCUUUUCACCACCUGAUAAGUUUGCAACAAGUUCAAGUUCCGCAUCACCUCCUAGUGUGAUCAUCUGUAGCAAGUGCAUUAAGGGACAAGCAUUGAACAAUUAUUGCAUUAAAAAAAAGGAAGGACAGAAAGAAAGAAAAGAAAAGAAAAGAAAGAAACAAAGAAAGAAUAAAAAACACAGCACAAGUAAAAGCCAAUUAUGAAAUCCCAACUGCCAGCAGUGUCAUUACUAUAGAAGGAAUUAAAGUAGCAUGACAAAUUAGGCUACUGAGUUUUAGAGGAAGAUGAAUCAGGAAAAGUAAAUGUUUGUGGCGGAUGAAGCUGUGCAUCAUUGUGGUCUAAAAUUUCCUAUGACUAUACCAUUAAAAGUUCACAUAAAACAAGCUAAAAGAAGAAAGAAAGCAAUCCUGAAAAGUUAAUGCCCAGGAAAGAAGAUGCAAUCUUCCAUUGUUUCAAGAUGCUCAGGAUCCUAAUCAAGUACCCCCACACGGUGCAGCAAGACCAGGACCAAAAAAAAAACAUUACAAAAACUAAAUUAGAUAUUCAAUAGGACCAUUUAUACAGAGCACUCUAGUGGAACCAGCCACAAAAGUGAAUGAGGCUACACAACAGUUAUAACCUAAACUUAUUUGUCCAGAAUGUCCGUGCACUAUACGGUUGCAUGUGCAUCCUUGUGUAAGGAGAGGGUGUUUCAAACCACUCAGUUUACAAACCUGAUACAUUUCUUUCAACUUCAAAGAUAUUGUGUGGAAUCCUGCCAUGAACUCGUCCAUCCUAAAAAUAUCCAAUUGAGUAGCAUAAAGAAGUUACAUCAACAGGAACAUGCAAGACAAGUAAUAAAAAAUAUAAACAAGGUAAAAUAGACAAGCCUUCUCUUUUUCCAUUCAUCAUAUUGCUUCUUCACAUCAUCACGCUCUUGAGUGACCGUGUUAAGAUCUUGCAUACCUUUCUCCGGUAUCUAUAGUAAUUAGAGAAGUUGUCAAAUAAAAUAUGCAUAACCACACAAAUUUCAGCUUACAUCAUAUAUGCAAAGCAGAGAAAAUGCAUACUCUGAAAUGGAAUCGAGAUUGGGAUUCAUCUCUUUCAAUUGUGCUUCAAUCAAUGCUACCAUUUCAAGGGCCCUCUUUAGGCCACAAUCCUCGGUAAGAGUCUUGUCUGCCAGUGUCGCUUGAAGCUUUUCAGGGUCCACCAGAUCUUUCUGAAUUCUGUAACCAAAAAAAAAAAAAUAGUUGACAUUUUCAGUCAUAAACAUAACAGAUUUCUAGAGGUCACAUAGACCAAGGCAUACUGUUCCAUAUGCUUCACAAGAGCAACUUGCAAUUCGUCAAGCUUUCUCUUGUAACCCUUUCCCUUCAUUUCCAACUCCUUGUAGAGUUUCUUCAUGUCUUGUAAUUUGUAGUCAGCAUCAACCUGGAAUAUCACCAAAGAAUUGCUAAAAUGUUUUAAACAGUAGUUGACCAAAACCAAGUAAAGGAAAAUAUAGAGAUGCAUUCAUUGGCACCAGACCUCAGAUGCCCUCAACUCAUCCACGAUUUUCUUCAACUUUUCGUAGUCAGAUUUUGCUUUAUCCAAUACAUCUUUAUGCUGAUCAAUUAGCUAUAGAAAAAAAGAAAGAAAAAAAAAAUAUUCACCAGUUAUAAAGCAACUCACUCAUGUAACUCAUCAUAAACGAUGCCAAACAAAUAAAAACAAACCUCCUGUGUUUUGUUAUAGUUGUCUUGAACAGUAAAUGCCUUCUGUUCUAUAUCUUUAUGGGAUAAAUGCAACUUCUCCUUCUCGUCAACCACUCGGUCUUUCUCCUUCUUUGACUCUUCUAUCCCCUUUUUCAACUUCUUCACCAUUUUUUGACCUGUCUCUAUUUGAACCUUGUGGCGAUUGAUCUCUGUAUUGCUUUUAUCAAUAUCCCGACAAGAAGGAAGCACAUAUCAAAAGAAGUAUCAUUUACAGGAUUUGGCAAUUUCUGAUUGAUUGAUAUACUUACAAAUUGAAUUUUGUUGACUUUUGACUUUUGCAAUUUCAAUCUUCACCACCUGCAUUUUCAAUUUUACUCUGAAGCUCCAAAGCCUUGAAAACACAGAAUUAGAGAAAGGUCAAGCAAACACCAUCAACAAAUCAAAUGCAAAAUUCUGCACAUUGCCCAUGUAUUCAGUUCUAUGAAGAAUGAACAUCUACAUAAUGUCUUGGAGUGGAUACCAUAACAUAAGAACAAGUCAGAAACACAGCUCAAUUGUUUUUGUAGUGUUGUGUUCUGAACUGAUUGUGUUACAAGAGUAAUCAAAUGUAAUCCUUUGACAUUUAAACAUUUCGACUUCACUCAAUGUGCCCAUGUCAAGAUGACAUGACAAGGUUAUGAGUGUGGGAUCAUUUAGUCCUAUUUUGCUUCAGACAUUAAUUAUAGAAAUUUUUAAAAAAAGAAAGGACAAAAGAAAGAAGAAAGAGAUUUCUCUUAACACCUAGGAUGCAUUAUUUUUGCUUCUAAUUGACUUCUAUCUUAUCUUUUCCUUGCAUUAUGUUGUAUCCAAAUAUCACUCAAGAUCCCUUUUUAGCCAAGCCUCUACAUCCUAGGCACAUCUAGACCCCACAAGUGUACCAAUGUAACAUAGAUAUAUAAUUCAGUUACCAGCUCACCUUAUCCUUCAACUGCUUAGACCCUUCUAUGAGUCUUUCGAUCUCUUUUUCUUCUGCAGAUAUAGUUUUAUUUAACUCCUCCAGCCUAUUUAGCUCAUCUUUCCUUGGCUUUGAUGCAGCUUUCAGGGAAUCAAGCUGUUUUUCAAGAUAACUAUGCUGCGACUUUAAACUGUCUAUCUGUUUCAGAAGAAAAUUUUUAGUUAAUAUUUAAUAAAAAUGCCCUCAAAAUACAGAUGAAUGGACACAGAAUCUAUUCUCAAGUGUUACCUCUUUAAGGAUUUUGGUCAAUUCCAUUUCCAAACGAGCAACUGCUUUUUCCGACCCCUGGUAAAAAAAAAACUUUAAUGUAUUAAAAAAUAAAAUGAAAAAAUUAAAUUAAACAACUUUUUAUUAAUUAUAUAUAGAUGGAACGAGAUGUGGUGGGGCGGAGUGGAACAAGACAAUACUCAACUUGCCCUAAACUCAAUGGAUUAAUCAUUUUUCCUAACCUGUCUUAUUAGGGCUAGGAUAGGUAUUAUAAAAAACCGGUUUAUUAACAUUCCUAUCCAUUCCUUGAAAGAUAAAUUAAGGUUAAUGAAUUGGAAGUAAUUGAAAAUUUGUAUUUUAAAUGUGUGUUUUUAAGAAUGAAUAUUAUUAUUAUUUUUUUUAAAAUCUCACCAAAUUAAAAAAAAAAAAAAAAAGUAAUCUUCACAAUAUUGUAAGAGAUUAAUUCCCUUGGAUAACUUUUAGAAGAAGUAAAAGUAAAACUAAUUAAAAUCAUAAGAAAUAGAAGCCAAAAUACUUAUUAGAUGUACCUUUUUUUUAAAAGAAAAAAAAAAGAUAAUGUUUGAAAAAUAAAAUCAAUAAUAAUUUUGGUAUGUUAAGCAUUGCAAGUUAUAUUUGCAACAAUUAUGCUAAGAGGAAAUGAUGGCUCAAAGAGUAUCCUAGUGAAUGUAUUUGAUCAAAACCUGUGUUAGUCUUGUGUGCUUCAAAUUUAGUAUUGACUUAAAAAAAUGAGCUCGAAAUUGUGUUUGGCUUAGGAAUUAUGUUAGCUUUGAGAUUUGGUAUAAACUUAAUAGGUAUAUGGCUUGAAAUUUAGGAAAUAAGCUCAAGAUUUUAUUAGCUCAAUAUUUGUGUUAGCCCUCAAUUACUUUGAUGCAACUCUAAUUAUAUAAAAAUUUUCAGCAUGACCUCAAUGAUAGUAAAUUAAUUAUUAGAUGACAUGUUUAAUGUGUUAACCAUAAUAAGUGGUAUCAAAUCCAUGCUACGGGGUGCAGCUUCCCAAGUGUCUCUUGUGUCAUAGGAUCAAAUAGUCAGGACAAUCAAUUUAGGUGUGCCCAUCAUUGCAAUUAAUGUAGACAUAAAUUCAGCUUGAGAUUAUAUUGGCUUGGGAUUGAAUGAGAUUUAGCUCAUUACCUCACGGUUAUAUUCAUGUGACUUGGAAUUAUAUUAACUCAUAAUUGUAUUAGUGUGGACAUGCAAUUAUACUAACUCAUAAUUGUUUUCGUGUGACUCAAAUUUGUGUUAGCCAUGAGAUUUGAUUUUGACAUUGGAAAGCAAGCUCGAGAUCAUUUUACUAAUCACAAUAUUCAAAACUAAUUUUGAUAAUCUAGUAGUUAAAUAAACUCAUGCGAUCGCUCUUGUACCAUUGGGAGUUUGAUACUAAACUUUGUGUUAGACGUUAUUACAAACAUUUUAUGAUGAAUAGAAAGGGAUACACACGCGUGCCAUGAACAAACUUUUAUUUCCACACUUAACCACAUUGGGAGUUCGAUUACAAAAUUUUUGUCAAUAUAGAAAGGAAGACACGCUUAAUCACAACUGUCCUAUUAUUUCCACUAUGGAUGUGUAGGUACCCAUGAUACCAGCUGAAGUACCCAUCAACAUAACCCCAAUCAUAAUCACUAGUUCAAUUCCAAAUUUGUGGUAAAUGCCUGAAAUCUUCAAGUAGCAUAAGCACGGCAACAAGAUUGAACCCGUGACAGUCGAAAAUGCUACCACCAUGGACAUGAGAGACCCAAAAAAUGGGACUGUCAGAGCUACAAUGAUAGUACUGAACACCAAAGCGGUUCUUAUUAGAAGGCUAAAUGAUCUUCUGUUGCAGUAGUUUGGAAAGCAGUUUUCUGUAGCAUUCACAAUUGGUGCAACCAUCAAUGCAUAUUUGGAUAUGGGAUUGACUAGAGUAGUGUAUAUGGCCACUCUUGAGCUAAGUUUCUCAAUUGGAAGGUUUAAAGUUAUUUGUGAUUGCACCUCUGAACCAAACAUUAAGUACCCCAAAACUGCCAUUGCUGCAUAAGCAAUGGUGCAGAAGAUAAAGCAUACAAGCAAGACUGCAAUGAGAAAAUACAAUAUUGAAGAUCAGUUACAUCAUCUCAAGUAUGAAUGUACGUGUGUGUGUCUAUAUAUAUAUAUAUAUAUAUAGAGAGAGAGAGAGAGAGAGUAACAUGUAAUGUUCCACUUACAGUAGAAAACUGGUUUUUCUUUCUCAUAGAAGUGUAUAAAGUAGGAAAGACUGGAUGGGCACAAUAGCAGAAAGCGUAUAAACUGAAGGCAGUAGGGAUUCCUUUCCAAUUCAGAGUUGUCCCUUUCCCAUGAAAUCCAACUCCAUCAAAUACUCCAGUCCAUAAAAUUGAGCCAAGGAUGAUUAUACAAGCAAAAACACCGCUUGCUGAGAUAUAAGAAAGCAUGUUUAAAUUGUAGAAACAGACCGAUGGCAGAAUCACAAGGCCAGAAAUCAGUAUGAAGCUUUGUCUACCAUCAAUUACUUGCCCAAAAAUUUCAAAUCCCACCAUGGGGAAUAAAUUAUGCAGAUUAUCCCCUUCUAGUAUUAGAAAACCAGUUGCAACCAAGUAAAGCUCCAAAUACAUGAAGAUUGAUACCAUUAAUCUUCCUUUCUUCCCAAAUGCUUGCUCACCUAUAUCUGGGUAAGUUCGGAUAUUUAGAUCAACAUCCAUACAUCUUUGAAGUAGCAAACCUGUAUAGAAAGUUGCAAGGGUGAUAACAAACAGAAGCAUCAAGCUCAACCACCCUCCUGAUGCAAGUGCAUAUGGAACCGAAAGGAUCCCAAUCCCUACAAAGAUAGUUAACACGAAAAAUGUUAGUUUUUUUUUUUUUUUUCAGUUUGUUAGAAAUAUAGAAUAAUUGUAUUCUAUUCUGUGAAUAAAAGAGUAUACAUCAGUGCCUUUAUAUAGGAGGCAUAUAUGUGUAGUACAAGGGUGCAGUACAAAGGUGUAGUACAAGUGUAGUACAAAGGUGUAGUACAAGUGUAUAGUACAAGUACUAUACAAGUAACCUAACUGGGCCCCUGGGCCUAGAGCCCACAAUACAAUAUACUUUAACAGCCCCCCUCAACUUCAAGGUGGAUGUGAGACCAACUUGAGGUUGUCAACUAAAUCACGAGUGCGUCUCUUAGGAAGAGACUUGGUGAAGAUAUCUGCAAGUUGAUCUUUGGAGGAGACGGAGAAAAGCUUAAGAGCACCAUGGAGAAGAUGAUAACGGAUAAAAUGACAAUCAAUCUCGAUGUGUUUAGUCCGUUCAUGAAAGACAUCAUUGUGAGCAAUAUGAAUAGCACUCUGGUUGUCACAAUAAAGAGGAGUAGCAGAGGAGGUGGAUANNNNNNNNNNNNNNNNNNNNNNNNNNNNNNNNNNNNNNNNNNNNNNNNNNNNNNNNNNNNNNNNNNNNNNNNNNNNNNNNNNNNNNNNNNNNNNNNNNNNCCAAAAGAUAACAUUACGAGAAACGCGAAGACGAUGAGAAACAGGAUCAUAACACCUAUACCCCUUUUGAGUUUCGCCAUAACCAAGAAAACAACAGAGUCUAGAUCGAGGCUCAAGUUUGUUGUGCUCAUGAGGCUGAAGAAGAACAAAGCAAGCGGAUCCAAAGGAGCGAAGGUGAUGAUAGUUAGGGGGUGACCCAAAGAGACGCUCAUAUGGAGUCUGAUUAUGGAUGACAGUACUUGGAAUGCGGUUAAUUGCAUGAACAGCAUGAAGACUGGCUUCACCCCAAAAUGGGGCAGGAAUUUUGGCAGAAAGAAGUAAAGCACGAACAGUGUCAAGAAUAUGACGAAGUUUUCUUUCGGCUCGACCAUUUUGCUGAGAGGUACCUGGACAGGUUAGAUGAUGGAUAGUGCCAUAGGAAUGUAACAGAGUUUGAAAUGCAUGUUGAGUAUAUUCAAGAGCAUUAUCAGAUCGAAAGGUUUUGAUACGUUUGGAGAAUUGAGUUUCAACCAUUUUUGCAAAGUUGCUAUAUAUUAAUAAAAUUUCAGAACGAGAUUUCAUAGGAAAAAUCCAACUAUAACGAGAGUAAUUAUCAAUAAAAACAACAAAAUAUCGAGAUCCACCAAUACUAGCAACAGGAGAAGGUCCCCAAACAUCAGAAUGAAUUAACUCAAAAAUACUUUUAGAAAUGGAGUCACUGUUAUUGAAAGGCAAAGCUGGUUGUUUUCCUAACUGACAUGAAGUGCAAUCAAAAUUGUCUUUAGACACAGAACCCAACAGACCUCUAGACACUAACUGUUGUACCCGAGAAGAUGGUGCAUGACCAAGACGAGAAUGCCAAAGCGCAAGAGAAGGUAAGGAAGAAACUGCAGCUGUUGCAGCAGCAACAGAAACAGGAGCAACAGGUGGAAGAUGAAGAUUGUUCACGGGAAACAUACGCCCAACUCUAGGACCGGUCCCAAGCUCCUGCCCCGUCCUCGGAUCCUGUACAAUACACCCAGAAUAGUCAAAAAUAAGGCGAUAACCGAGUUCAGCUAAUUGUCCCACAGAGCACAAAUUAUAGGAUAGGUCAGGUACGUGAAAGACUCCAGGAACAGAAAGGGUAGAGGUUGAAACAAAACCUAGACUAUUUCCAUGCAUGGUGGAACCAUCGGCUAUAUGAAUAUUUAGAGGAUGUGGUGCAGGGUCAAGGUUGGUGAACAGGGAUGAGUGAGGUGUCAUGUGAUUGCAGCAGGCAGAAUCAAAGAGCCAAGUUUGAGACUUACCAGGUAGAACAGAUAAGGCAGUGGAAAGAGAUGCAUUACCAACCAUACGAACAGCCUGAGCUAUGAUCUCCUGUAGUUCAGUGGAAGAGAGGUUGAUAGUAGAUCCAGAAGACUGGGACGUGGAAACCGUUGGCGGAGUAGGUGCAGUAUUAGCAACAGCAGCAGUAGAUUUGUUACGACGGUAACAAGUCUCAAUGGUGUGGCCAGGACGCUUGCAAUAGUUGCAGAACUUCUUGUUGGUUUGCUUGCGACGAUUGCUAGAGCCAGAAAAAUCACCUAAUUGCUGAGGUUGCUCUAUGAGUGGAGUAGAUGGAGUAAUAGCCAAAAUAUUGAGCUUAUUCUGGGCUUGAAGGGUUGCAAGACGAGCUUCUUCUCUAACCAACUCAUUCACAGCAGUAUCAAGAGAGGGAGCAGGACUGCGAUUUAACAGCUGACCACGAAUGGGCUCAAAGUCCUUGUGAAGUGACAUCAAGAAUUCAUAGAGGCGAAAUUCAUCUCUAAUGGUAGCAUAUUGCUGAGCAUCUGUGGAGCAUCCCCAAGUUGGAUCAGAAAGGUCAAUUUGGUCCCAAAUGAAGCGAAGCUGAUCAUAAUAGUCAUUGAUGGAUUGCCCCGGUUCUUGCCUGAGUUGAUGCAAUUCAACCACUAACUGAUAUUUCAUGGAUCCAUGAGUAGUGGAGUACCUUUUGGUCAACAUAUCCCAUGCAGAUUUUGCAUCGUCAAAGCUACCCAAUAGGUUGGAAAUAGAGGGAAUGGAAGUGUUCCGGAUCCAUGUGAGGAUCAUGUGGUUAUGACUAUCCCAUUCAAUCAUGCGACUAAGAAAGACAGCAUCUUCUUCACUUGCUCCUUUGACAGGAAUAGUCAUUGCACCAGUACAAUAAUGCCAGAGCAUGCGACUCUUAAGAAAACUGCGCGUAGCUUGAGACCAGGAUAAGUAAUUUUUAGUCCCCUCCAAUACAGUAUGGAUGGGGCGAGGAAGAAAAACAUCCUUCUUAUCCAUUUAGGGAUGCAAUAUGCAAAACCGACUGCAGAAAUGAAAUCUAUACGAAAAACUAGGUAAGGAGAACCUGGCUGGGGAAAAAGUCAAUUGGACGGUCAACGGUCAAAGUCAACGGUCAACGCUGGUCAACGGUCAACGGUCAAUGGUCAACGGUCAACGACUGGAGAUGACGUCAGCAGAUCAGUGGAUGCUGACGCAGCUAGGGCUGACGUGGCAGCGCGUGGAGGCCUGACGAGCUAGUGCUGAUGUGGCAGCGCGUGGGGGCGCGUGGGGGCGCGUGAAGGCACGUGGAGGCGCGUGGAGGCGUUGCAGAAUCUUUGAGGGGCGCGUGCGGUCUCCGAUGGCGGCGAGAUAUCCACGAAUGUGUAGAUCGGCGCUGGACGAUCUCAGUGGUACCUUCAAAAGUGAAAUCGGAGCAAUAUUCGCAGCGAUGAUGCAAAGGGGCAGUGGUCUGUGCAGUGUGAGACUUCUUAAUGACUGCGGUUGCAGGUCCGGAACCCAGGGAUGACGACUGGAUGACGUCGGAGGUUCAACGGCAAGAGGCUACAGCGGCAGUUGUGAUGGCGGAAGCGCUUAGUGAAAAAGGAAGUCACACUAAUGAAGACAAGACUGCUAAGAAGAAAAAAAAAAGAGGUCAGAGCAGUGGCUCUGAUACCAUGUUAGAAAUAUAGAAUAAUUGUAUUCUAUUCUGUGAAUAAAAGAGUAUACAUCAGUGCCUUUAUAUAGGAGGCAUAUAUGUGUAGUACAAGGGUGCAGUACAAAGGUGUAGUACAAGUGUAGUACAAAGGUGUAGUACAAGUGUAUAGUACAAGUACUAUACAAGUAACCUAACUGGGCCCCUGGGCCUAGAGCCCACAAUACAAUAUACUUUAACACAGUUUAUCAUUUACAAAGUAGUUACAGAAUCAGAAAAACAACCUAAUAAAGCAUUGAGGCCAUUAAAACAGGUCUUGAAGAAAGAGGUAGAGCCCAAGUCUAGCUUGCAGCCAGUGGAGGAGUACUCCAUGUCCUCCACGUUUUGACUCUCAUCAUGCAAAAGGGGGAAGGCGAGAGAAAACCCAUCAAGCUGCUCCGGCGCCAUGUCUCAUAAACUAAGAAAGAAAGGAAGGGAAAGGAUUAUGAAGAUUAUGAAAUUGAUUAGGGUUACAUAGUUUUGAGAAAUGAAGCUUGGAAAUAAUAUAGGCAACUGGGUGGGGACUGUGGAGCUUGAGGGGCGAAACUUUACAACUAUUGCACACAAAUCUCAUGGUGUUUAUGUAUUCUCACCUCUCAACCAACUUGAUUCACGAGAGCGAGGGUUUAAAUCAAAGAGCUUAAUGGUGUGUUAAACUUUUAAGUUAAAAUAAGUUUUCUAAAAAUGCUUUGGAGAGAAUCAUUUAUCAAAUAUUUUAAAAAUAUAUAUAUUACAUGUGAUUUUUAAAUUUUUAAUUUUUUUUUAAAUCUUGUUAAAUAUUUUAUUUUACUUGAAAAGAUUUUUUAUGCUAAAAAUAUUUUUAAAAUGAUCAUCAAAUAGACUCUAAAUAUAGAAUGACUAAAUACAUAAAAAGUGUUUUUAGUAACGAUACUUUAUAGCAUUUUUAUGAUUUUAUUGAUACCAUUUUUACAAGAAACCCUUUUAAUACAUUGACAUUUGGAUGCAAAUAAAAAAAAGAUAUAGAAUGCUUUUAUAAUGAUUUUGCUAAUAUACAUAAUAUAAAGUAAAUAAAGUGAUUUUUAAAGAAAAUUAAACAAUUACCUUUUAAGUGAUUUUCUAGAUUUUUAAAAAUAAUUUUAAAAACUUUAUAAAGAUAAUUAAUUUUUAUAAGAAAAAUGUCACAAAUUAAGCUUUUAAUUCUCUAAAUGGACUCCAAACAUGCAUUUCAUAUUGCUUUUAAAGUGGCAUAUGACAAGCCUAGCGUGACCGUCCAAAACUUGGAAUUAAUUUUUUUAUAAAUAUUUUAAAUAUACAUUAUGCAAUGAAAUGCUAAUUAUGAUGUAUUCACAUGACUCUCAUCAAUAGAUAAGGUCCUUAUUCUAACACACAUUUUUUACCUAAAUUCUAGAAAUAAAAUAUUAAAGAUAGUAUAGCAUCACUCAUGAAUUAUGACUUAAGUUAUAAAAUGAUAACAUAAAAUAUCUUUGACAUGAUGGGGUAUAUCCCACGUGAAUCAUACCAUUAAUUAUCUUAAUUGAUCACAUCCAUUUUGUGACCUUGUAUAUGUCUUUUUCUUACCUAGCUUGAGCACCCUGCACAUUAAGUCAUUGUCUUUAUAAAAGAAAAAGUUUGUUGUUAAGUUUAAAGUAGUAAUAUCACAUCUUUUCAAAAUGUUGAGAAAACUAUUAAAAAGUAAGGAGAUGUUACUUCACGGGUGUGAAAAUAGAUAUAGGCACCUAUAAGUCUCAAUAAAUAAUAACUACCAAGUAAAUUUAUAUAUCUAUUUUUUCAUAAUUAAUGAAUUUUAAUUUUAGGAUUUUUGACUUUAUAGUUUUUACAUAGAUUUUUGGAAUAUUUUGUAGAUAGUUUUCCAUGUAAAUCGCAUUUCCCUUUGUACAAUUAAAUGUUUUUUAUUUUUAUUAAUUAAUUAUAUUCUAAUAAAAAAACAUAUAAAAACUAUAAUUGAUAUAUUUUUUAGGCUACACUUAAAAAAACUAAUUAUCAUCCCCUCUAAAUAGUUUCAUCGUAUAAGAUUUGAAGCUCUAAUUUCACUUUAUGUCUCAUUUCUUAAUUCAUUUUUACUAUCAUUUCUUUAUGCUUUAAUUUAAUUGUAUUUUAAAAAUUUUUAUUUAGUGAUUCAUAUUGGAUCGUACAAAUCAAUAAUUUAAGUUAAAAGUUACUACUUUUUUUGUCUUAACAUUAUUUUAUUUUAAUUGGUUACAUGUGUAAGCCAAGAAGCAGAAUAUAAUAAUGAGGGAAACACACUACAUAUAAAGCUAAGUAACCAAAGAUUAUCUCAACUAAUUUUAUCCUUUAGAUAAUCCAUGAGGGGUUUAUAAUAAUUUUUUCUAGAAUAUGAAACCAUAAAAAUUUGUGAGAGAGAAAUUUGCAAAAAAAUUAUUAAACUUAAUUUUUUUUCUUUCAUUUUUUAUCUUUAAUUUUUCUUUUUUUCCCUUGUUUAUCAUCAAAUUUAUUAAAAUCAUUUUAUAUAAUAAAAUUGGCGCAUAAACAUAUGGUAGAGGGUGGAGAUGAGGUGACAACAUUAGGAGCUUAUAGUAUAUACUCAAAAUAAUUAAUGGGCAUUCCCACGAAGGCCAUGAAUUUUCAUAUUUCAAUAAAGGUUUGUUUAAGGUGAUUCUUAUAAUGAAGUCCAAUCUCAAGCUAACUCAACUUAAGAGUAUACCUAAAAGAGAGUAUUAACUAGUUUAGUCAAUUUUUAUUGAUUAUUAUAUUAAUGAAUUUUUAAAAAAAAAAAUUAAGAUGUGAUAAGAUAAAUUUAGAACACAUAAUUAUUAGAGAAUAAGAAAAGAGAAAGUAAACAAUAAUUUAACAUAGUAAUUCAAUGCAAACCCCUUGUUUCCGUGACUACAAGCUCCAAUCAAAUGCUUAAAGUGCUCCUCUAUAUACUCAAUCGAGGAUCCUUCAACCGGCGAUGUAUCCUUCAACUUUACAUUUAGUUUGAGGAAUCAAUAGAGUUUUACAAAGCUCCACAAAUAAAGUUCACUUACUUAAAAACUCUCUCACAUAGAACGGUAGAAUUAAAUGACUAUCAAUAUAUCACAUACAUAAGUAUAGGUAAUGAUAGUGUAAGUUUAAGGAAAAAAAACAACUAUUAAGAAUAAAUUAUGUAACUAUUUCUUCAUAUAUAUUAAGAAAAAUUUAGUUCUACACAUAAAUCACUUGUAUAUUUAUGUGAUUAGUUAUUGUGUGCAUUUAUUAAUUGCUUACAUCAUAUUAAAAAACUUGAAAAAAAAAAAAUUUAAAUCAAUUUUUAUGUAUAUAUUUAAGAACUACCUAUUCACUAUUUCUUUGGAUAGUCUCAUUGUAUAACAUCUUAAACUCUUAUAAGUAAAUUAAGAUAAUAGGACAAGCACAUAUGCAUUAUUCAAUAGGAAAUUGUUUGACAUUUUAGGUCAAACACAAUUGCAUCAAAUCUAAGUUUUAAUAAGAUCUAAUUCUCUUUUAUUGGUGAUAAAACUAUCCUUAUUAAGAGUUUUAAUAAAAAUGUCUACUAAUUGAUAAUUUGUGCUAACAAAUCCAAGUGUAAUAUCAUGUUUUUGUGCAUGGUCCCUAAGAAAGUAAUGUUUAAUUUCAAUGAGUUUAGCCUUCACAUGUUGAACCAAAAUUAUAGAAACAUUCAUAGCACUAAUGUUUUCACAUUUAAUAGGCACAUAGUUAUAUAGGAAACUAAAGUCAUGCAAGGUUUGUUUCAUCUAUUAAAUGAAAGGACUAGUAUACAACACGGACAAAAACGUAAUAUAUUGUACUUCUAUAGUAGAUAAUGUAAUGAAAUUUUGUUUUUGGCUACACUAAGAUGCUAGUGAGUACCUAUAAAAUGACAAGUAUUACUUUUGUUUUUUCGAUUAAUUUUACAAUUGGAAAAAUCUACAUCCAAAUAUGAAUUAAAUUAAAAUUUGUGCACCUAGGAUACCAUAAGCCUAGAUUAAUUACUUUUUAAAAUAUCUAACUAAGUAUUCUUGUAAUAGCAUUAAGAAGAGAUUUCUUAGAAUAUAAUUGAAAUCUAACAUCCUAAGAUGCCUACUUGUAGUAAGGUAACUAAAGUAAUGUUCAUAUCAUACUUGGAUACAGUGUAGGGUAAAUUCAUUUUUGUAAAGCUUUAUGGAUGAAUUUAUUGGAGUAGUCAUCACUUUUAUAUCUUCCAAAUUGAAUCAUUGGAAACAAACAUGGUGUAAUGUUAUAUUGGGUUCUAAGGGAAGAAAAAUGAGAUGUUAAGAAAUUUAUUUUUUUCUUUUCUUUUUUAUUUAUUUUUUGGUUACCAUGGAAAAAAAAGUAAAAAGAUAAAGAAAAAAGCUUCUUAGAUUUUCUUCCAUUAUUUUAAGAAAAGGUGGGGCAAGUGUAUUCAUCUGCAAUUUAGUUUUAUUUUUCUAAAUUUUCUAUAGAUAACAAAAGAAGAUAAGAGAAAUUUUAUAAAUUUUUAUCUUUUGUCUUUCCUUAUCAUUUUUCUUUCCCUUAAACAUCCCGAGUUCGAAACAUAAAAGAGUUUUUUUUUAACUCUACUGUAUUGCAUGUGAUUAUUAAAAGGCAUAUGAUCAAUAUAGACCAAUAUAGGGAGGCAAACUAUUUUUUGAUUAAUAAAUCCAUUGGAUUACAAAAAUUUUAUUGUCAAUACAAACUAAUAUACACUCAUAACUGGCCUAUUAUUUCUACUAUAGAUGUGUAGGUACCCAUGAUGCCAGCUGAAAUACCCAUUAACACAACCCCAAUUAUAAUCACUAGUUCGACUCCAAAUUUGUGGUAAAUGCCUGAAAUCUUCAAAUAGCAUAAGCAUGGCAACAAGAUUGAAGCUGGGACACUUAAUAAAGCUCCCACCAGUGACAUGAGAGACCCAAAAAAUGGCACUGUCAGAGCUACAAUGAUGGUGCUGAAUACCAAGGUGCUUCUUAUUAUAAGGCUAAAUGGUCUUUUCUUGUAGUAGUAUGGGAGCCAAUUUUCAGUAGCAUUCACAAUUGGUGUAACCAUCAAUGCAUAUUUGGAUAUGGGAUUGACCAGAGUAGUAUAUAUGGCGAUCCUUGAGCUAAGCUUCUCAAUUGGAAGGUUCAAGGUUAUUUGUGAUUGAACAUUUGAACCAAACAUCAGGUACCCUAAAAUUGCCAUUGCUGCAUAAGUGAUGGUGCAGAAGAUGAAGCAUACAAGGAGGACCUGCAAUGAGAAAUGUAGUAUUCAAGGUUAGUAACCACAAACCAAACUCAGUUGAAGUUUAUAAAAUUCACCCUAAUUAAGAGUGCCUUUGGCAGUAUUUCUAAAAACAUUUCAUAAAAACACAUUUUAAAAUUAUUUUCAAAGUUACUCUAAAAAAAAAAAAAUGGAUAAAUAGAUAAGAUUUGAUAGAAUUCAAAAUUUGUUUUUGAAUUCAAUGGAUUAAAAUAGAAUCGAGAUAAUUCUCCAUGGUUUGAAAUCCUUAUCUUUUUCCAACAAUCAAGUUCCAUCUACACAUAGGAUUCUAGUUUCUUUGAAAAAGGAAACUGCCAACACUUGCUACAGAUGCUUUAUGUUCCACAGAUAUUUAUCAGAAUUAUAAUUUGAUUUUUGUCCUAUAUAUGUGUUCAAGCGAAAAGACCAGCGUCGCAUCACUGAAAAAUUGGACCUGUAAAAAAUAAUUGAAGAUCUCAAACUUACAUUAGAAAAUUGAUGCUUCUUCCUCAUAGAAGUGUACAAGGUGGGGAAGACCGGAUGGGCACAAUAACAGAAGGCAUAUAAGCUAACAGCAGUGGGGAUUCCUUGCCAAUUUAGACUUGUUCCCUUCUCAUCAAAUCCAACUCCAUCAAAGGCCCCGGUCCAUAGAAUUGAGCCAAGAAUGAUGAUACAAGCUAAAACACCGCUGGCUGAUAUAUAAGAAAGAAUACUGAGGUUGUUCACCCAGACAGAAGGCAAAAUAACAAGGCCCACAAUGAUUAUGAAGCUUUGUCUCCCAUCAAUCAUUAAUCCCCAAAUCUCAAGCCCCAUGUUGGGAAACAGAUUAUGUAGAUUAUCCCCUUCGAGGAUUAGAAAGCCUGUUGCAACCAAGUAGAGCUCGGUAUACAUGAAAACAGAUACCAGUAAUCUUCCCUUCUUCCCAAAUGCUCGCUCGCCAACAUCAGGGUAAGUUCGGAUAUUCGGAUGGGCAUCCAUACAUCUUCUGAGUAGCAAGCCUGUGUAGAAAGUUGCAGUGGCGAUAACAAGUAGAAGAACCAAGCUCAACCACCCUCCCGAUGAAAGGGCAUAUGGGAUGGAAAGGAUCCCAACUCCUG
RNAcentral lists this long non-coding RNA (33383 nucleotides) under Vitis vinifera (wine grape). RNAcentral describes it as "long non-coding RNA (VVIN_LNC004895)". Lineage: Eukaryota; Viridiplantae; Streptophyta; Magnoliopsida; Vitales; Vitaceae. The record is from RNAcentral.